AUAUAGCCAUCAGCAGAUGACUUCACUGAGAUCCCGCAGUCAUUCUCCUCUCAAAUUCGCAACGAGGAAACCAACUUGGCAGAUUUCUCCAACGUGGAUCCCAGCUGGAGUUGGCAGGAGUAAGGCAAUGGUUCUAAUAUGGGAAAACAACAAUACUGCCUGGACAUAGCAACAACCUGGGCCAAUUGACAUCAUACCCUCUAUGGCAAGCUGCACGUCUCAACAACUCAUCCACCUGCGUCUGCCAUCAAUGUCGCCACCGCACGGGAUCCCUGGCUUUGACUUGGAGAAGAGAAAAAGAAAGAAAGGAAGAGUUAACAUCGGAAAGAAGGGCGGGUUAUUACCACUCAGCAGUCGCUGAGCUCCGUAAUGGUAAGUAGUGGUAAGUAUACCCCCUGGAGCCUGAUUAUUUAGGGUUUUUUGUUACCACCUUACCAGUAUAUGUGUGUGUUUAUGUGCGUGUGUUUAUGUGUGUGUCCAUGUGUCCGUGUGUGUCCGUGUGUGUGUCCGUGUGUGUGUGUAUGUGCAUCAGUUGAAUUAGCUAUUUGCAAUGCUCACCCAUUCUUUGAACAGGAGAACACUGAAUUCCCUUUUGGAAUCUGCAAGCAUUUCUGUAUUGGAAAUGACCUGUUCUCCCUUUCAAGGAAUCAGUCACUAGUAUCAGGUUAUUUUUAUAACCUGGUGCUUCAUUAAUGGCAUGCCAAUACGGGAGCAAUGGAAUUGAACCUGUACACUCCCUAUGUGGCAUUGUAUUUCCUUUACAAGGCUACUGUCGAUCCAGGGACAUGUCCGAUUGCCAUUUUGGAGUCAGGAAGGAAUUUUUUCCCCUUCUGAGGCAGAUUGGAGACCGCCUCAGAAGGGGUUUUUUUGCCUUCCUCUGGAUCAUCUAAAUUUAUUUAAUUGCAAAUAAUUGGCCUUUAAAAAAUAAAUAUAACUAAAAGACAAACCCCCCGAAACGGAAAAGGCAUGCCAAAAGCUAAAUUUAAAUAGGGAUGUCCAAGCUUGACUUUUAUUAACCAGUAGUUAGAGGGGAGCAGGGUUCUUGGGGAGGCUACUAAAGGAAGAACUUAUUUAUGACUGUAUAGUACACUUCCUUUUGGGUUAUGUUAAACCUCCCUUUAUCUUCUUUAUUAUCAUCACCACCUGUGUAUAGGAGAGGACGAAAGGAUAAAAAUCAACUGCAGUCAAGUACAGCAAUAAUUGUAGCAUGUGUGAUAUUCUGUGUAGGAAUGUUGUAUGGUUGUGUGAGACGUGUGUGUGAAUGUGAAUAUUGUUUUUUUGUUAUAUCAAGUCCAAAACACCCAGGUCCAUAUUUUAAAUAAAUUGCAGGUCAGCUCAGGUAUUAGGGGGGGGGGAAGGUACAGACUGGGCAGAGGUGUAUGACCCAAAAUGCCAACUAGGAACAACCCUAUUCUUCCCAUAGUUUUAGUCAUAUGUGGUCAGCUAAAUAGGUCCAUCAUGAUUCCUGCAUGAGUAUAUAUAUCAUCUAAAACUAAAAAUCUAAUCUUUAAAUUAAAUCUAAAUAGCCAGUGUGUGAUUAAAAGCCAUUUAUGUGUGUGUAUGACUAGUCAGAUACCUCUCAGUAUUUGCUGAAGAGGAAAGGUCCCAUGACAGUUUAUAUCACUCCAUGCGGGACCAGAGAGGGAACUAUUGCAGCAAGUGAUAGGGUGAGCCGUUUGCUGCAAUAGAUGUGUGAAUGGACA
Long non-coding RNA from Xenopus laevis (African clawed frog), 1703 nucleotides. RefSeq lists it as uncharacterized. The transcript is spliced from 2 exons. The record is from RefSeq and is a predicted model, not a curated record. NCBI's taxonomy places the organism in Eukaryota, Metazoa, Chordata, Amphibia, Anura, Pipidae.